GAGCAGGGGAGGGACAGAUCCCUGCCAGGGAAACUGUCUGUUGCUGAGAAGGGGUCCUGGAAGAGGGGGACAGAGGGAGGAUCUAUGAAACGAGGAGGGCAGCUAAAAGCAAAUGGGCAAGUGUCCGAGGGACAUCUUGAGGAGUGAAAAGCCUGCUCUGCUCUUCCUGCCCAGCUCAUUCACCCCUGCACAGUCCGUUCAAAUCCACCUUCUCUCAGAACCUAUAAAGACUGUAAAACGACAAGGAGGAAACAUCCCCUGGGUCUCGGGAAAUUGUCAGGAGUGAUGACAUCACAGGAAAACCACCAACCAAGGAGAAGGCGAACAGAGCCCAGCCCCCUAGCCCAGAGCAUCCUGGUCCAUGAUACCCAUCUGGUCCUGACUCUACCAUGGGCUGCAGGCUGCUGCACUGUGUGGUCCUCUGUGUCCUGGGAGCAGUCCCCAUGGACACUGGAGUUACCCAGAUGCCAAGACACCUGGUCAUGGGAAUGACAGAAAAGAAGUCUUUGGAAUGUGAACAAAAUCUGGGCCACAAUGCUAUGUAUUGGUAUAAACAGAGUGCUAAGAAGCCGCUGGAGCUCAUGUUUGUCUUCAACUAUAAGAAACUCGCAGAAAACUUGACUACGUCGAGUCGCUUCUUACCUGAAUUCCAGGACAACUCUCACUUUUAUCUUCACCUGGACACUAUGCAGCCAGAAGACUCAGCCACGUAUCUCUGUGCCAGCAGCCAAGACACAGCCUGGCAGAGUCACCGCCUCCCUGUGCACAAACCUUCGGGCCCAGCCAGGAAGCUGUGGGAGCAACCGAGGGCUUGGUUGAGCAUUUCUUGUGAGAAGCCUGCCAGAAGUUUCAGAACACAGUACCACCUGCUCAUUCAACCCAUGCGGCAACUUAGAUUGUGUGCACAUGUUUAGCAUGUGUGUUUUCGUUUACCUGAAUGUGGCUCUGCCCUGUCAACUCAUUUAAAAAAAAAAAAAAAGAAA
This is a non-coding RNA of Lemur catta (Ring-tailed lemur), 983 nucleotides long. The record is from the annotation of a RefSeq genome assembly. Lineage: Eukaryota; Metazoa; Chordata; Mammalia; Primates; Lemuridae.